AUGGGCGAUGUCCGGAUCGUGUCCCGGCGCAUGGUCCGCCCGGAGCCAAGCAACCGCCGGCCGCCGGAGCAUCAGCCGGAGACCAUCCACCUGACGCCGUGGGAUCUUCGGAUGCUGGCCGUGGACUACAUCCAGAAGGGCGUGCUCCUGCCCAAGCCCCUCGCCGCCACCACCCAAGGACAGGGACGCAACGUCCCCGUCGUGGACCGCCUCUCGUCGUCCUUUGCGAGCGCCCUGGGCCGCUUCUACCACCUCGCCGGCCGCCUCGCCGUCAACGACGACGGGGCCGGAGCCGGCCAAACCAUCUCGCUCCGGUGCAGCGACGAGGGCGCCGAGUUCGUGCACGCCGUGGCGCCGGGUGUCACCGUCGCGGACAUCACCGCCCCGCUAUGCAUCCCGCGGGUGGUCUGGUCCUUCUUCCCGCUCAACGGGGUGCUCGUCGCGGAGGCCGCCACGGGCUCCCGCCCGGUGCUGGCCGCGCAGGUCACCGACCUCGACGACGGCGUCUUCGUUGCCAUGUCGCUCAACCACGGGGUGGCCGACGGGACCACCUUCUGGCAUCUGUUCAACACUUGGUCGGAGAUCAACCGGCGCAGUGUCGACGGCGGCUACGACUGCGAGAUCUCCUCGCCGUUGCCGGUGUUCGAGAGGUGGUUCCCGAACGGCUGCGCCGUCCCCAUCCCUGUACCCUUGGGCAAGCUGGACGACAUCGUGGGGCAGCGUCGACGUGCAUAUGGCCAGCGCCCGCCGGUGCUGGAAUGCUUCGUGCGUUUCUCCGGGGAGAGCGUGAAAAAUCUCGUGUCGAAGGCGAACGCCGAGAUGUCAGGAUCUGGCACCACCAUCUCCUCGCUGCAGGCCAUGCUCGCUCACCUGUGGCGCGCGGUGUGCCGCGCCAGGAGGCUGGCGCCAGAGCAGGACACGCGGUACGUCCUCCUCGUCGGAUGCCGGGGCCGCGUGGACGGCGUGCCGGCGGCCUACUCUGGCAGCGCAGUCUCGCACGUCGCGGCCGAUUCCACCGCCGGCGAGAUCCUCGAGAAAGGGCUGGGCCGCGCGGCGUGGUUGCUGAACAGGGCCGUGGCGUCGUUCGACGGGGCGCGCGAGAGGGGGAAGCUCGCGGCCUGGGCCCGGGAGCCCAGCUUCGCGUUGCCGCCGGCGCUCGCGCGGGGCGCCGAAGCUCCUGCGCUGCUGUUGACGGGGAGCUCGCCGCGGUUCGACGUGUACGGCAACGACUUCGGGUGGGGCGCACCGGUGGCGGUGCGGAGCGGCGGGGGGAGCAAGCUGGCCGGGAAGGCGACGGUGUACGAGGGCGGGUGCGGCGCCGGGAGCAUGGCGCUGUAG
RNAcentral lists this ribosomal RNA (1338 nucleotides) under Triticum aestivum (bread wheat). RNAcentral's name for it is "partial small subunit ribosomal RNA". Lineage: Eukaryota; Viridiplantae; Streptophyta; Magnoliopsida; Poales; Poaceae. The record is from RNAcentral.